RNAcentral lists this ribosomal RNA (1768 nucleotides) under Salmonella enterica subsp. enterica serovar Agona. Its description in RNAcentral is "partial 23S ribosomal RNA". It matches the Rfam family "Bacterial large subunit ribosomal RNA", at positions 1192 to 2925 of the family's 2925-position model. The record is from RNAcentral. Lineage: Bacteria; Pseudomonadati; Pseudomonadota; Gammaproteobacteria; Enterobacterales; Enterobacteriaceae.
CGUCAAAGCGUAUACAAAGUCGAGUCGGUUUAAGGAUACGUUCGUUGGGUAGGGGAGCGUUCUGUAAGCCUGCGAAGGUGGCCUGUGAGGGUUGCUGGAGGUAUCAGAAGUGCGAAUGCUGACAUAAGUAACGAUAAAGCGGGUGAAAAGCCCGCUCGCCGGAAGACCAAGGGUUCCUGUCCAACGUUAAUCGGGGCAGGGUGAGUCGACCCCUAAGGCGAGGCCGAAAGGCGUAGUCGAUGGGAAACGGGUUAAUAUUCCCGUACUUGGUGUUACUGCGAAGGGGGGACGGAGAAGGCUAUGUUGGCCGGGCGACGGUUGUCCCGGUUUAAGCGUGUAGGUGUGUGUUCCAGGUAAAUCCGGUUCACUUUAACACUGAGGCGUGACGACGAGGCACUACGGUGCUGAAGCAACAAAUGCCCUGCUUCCAGGAAAAGCCUCUAAGCAUCAGGUAACAUCAAAUCGUACCCCAAACCGACACAGGUGGUCAGGUAGAGAAUACCAAGGCGCUUGAGAGAACUCGGGUGAAGGAACUAGGCAAAAUGGUGCCGUAACUUCGGGAGAAGGCACGCUGACACGUAGGUGAAGUGAUUUACUCAUGGAGCUGAAGUCAGUCGAAGAUACCAGCUGGCUGCAACUGUUUAUUAAAAACACAGCACUGUGCAAACACGAAAGUGGACGUAUACGGUGUGACGCCUGCCCGGUGCCGGAAGGUUAAUUGAUGGGGUCAGCGCAAGCGAAGCUCCUGAUCGAAGCCCCGGUAAACGGCGGCCGUAACUAUAACGGUCCUAAGGUAGCGAAAUUCCUUGUCGGGUAAGUUCCGACCUGCACGAAUGGCGUAAUGAUGGCCAGGCUGUCUCCACCCGAGACUCAGUGAAAUUGAACUCGCUGUGAAGAUGCAGUGUACCCGCGGCAAGACGGAAAGACCCCGUGAACCUUUACUAUAGCUUGACACUGAACAUUGAGCCUUGAUGUGUAGGAUAGGUGGGAGGCUUUGAAGUGUGGACGCCAGUCUGCAUGGAGCCGACCUUGAAAUACCACCCUUUAAUGUUUGAUGUUCUAACGUGGACCCGUAAUCCGGGUUGCGGACAGUGUCUGGUGGGUAGUUUGACUGGGGCGGUCUCCUCCUAAAGAGUAACGGAGGAGCACGAAGGUUGGCUAAUCCUGGUCGGACAUCAGGAGGUUAGUGCAAUGGCAUAAGCCAGCUUGACUGCGAGCGUGACGGCGCGAGCAGGUGCGAAAGCAGGUCAUAGUGAUCCGGUGGUUCUGAAUGGAAGGGCCAUCGCUCAACGGAUAAAAGGUACUCCGGGGAUAACAGGCUGAUACCGCCCAAGAGUUCAUAUCGACGGCGGUGUUUGGCACCUCGAUGUCGGCUCAUCACAUCCUGGGGCUGAAGUAGGUCCCAAGGGUAUGGCUGUUCGCCAUUUAAAGUGGUACGCGAGCUGGGUUUAGAACGUCGUGAGACAGUUCGGUCCCUAUCUGCCGUGGGCGCUGGAGAACUGAGGGGGGCUGCUCCUAGUACGAGAGGACCGGAGUGGACGCAUCACUGGUGUUCGGGUUGUCAUGCCAAUGGCACUGCCCGGUAGCUAAAUGCGGAAGAGAUAAGUGCUGAAAGCAUCUAAGCACGAAACUUGCCCCGAGAUGAGUUCUCCCUGAGACUUAGAGUCUCCUGAAGGAACGUUGAAGACGACGACGUUGAUAGGCCGGGUGUGUAAGCGCAGCGAUGCGUUGAGCUAACCGGUACUAAUGAACCGUGAGGCUUAACCUU